Molecule: ribosomal RNA, 252 nt
Filed under: uncultured bacterium
Lineage: Bacteria
Description: partial 16S ribosomal RNA
Rfam family: Bacterial small subunit ribosomal RNA
Source: RNAcentral
UACGAAGGGGGCUAGCGUUGCUCGGAAUCACUGGCGUAAGCGCACGUAGGCGGAUUGCUAAGUCAGGGGUGAAAUCCUGGAGCCUCAACUCCAGAACUAGCCUUUGAUACUGGCGACCUUGAGUCCGGGAGAGGUGAGUGGAACUGCGAGUGUAGAGGUGAAAUUCGUAGAUAUUCGCAAGAACACCAGUGGCGAAGGCGGCUCACUGGCCCGGUACUGACGCUGAGGUGCGAAAGCGUGGGAGCAAACAGG